Molecule: long non-coding RNA, 677 nt
Filed under: Capra hircus (goat)
Lineage: Eukaryota; Metazoa; Chordata; Mammalia; Artiodactyla; Bovidae
Description: lncRNA (ENSCHIG00010019911.1)
Source: RNAcentral
GGGGCAGCAGCUGGGCCAUCCCAGGCUGGUCACCCCGCUGGCUACUCACUUCUUCAGCCAGGGACAGAGCUGCGGGUUUGGGGGUCCACUGCCCCAGGGUUCUUCUUGUUCCCCCACCCACAGCCUUUUAAUUCCCUUGAGCCGCGGCUCCUACCACUCAGAGGUCUCCCCCCAUCUUCCUGUAUACUGUUUAUUUCUUUUUAUGACUGUCAAGGGUGAGAGCUGCUUGACAAGCUUUUGACUCUCCCCCCUCCCCACUGCCCCCUUCAGGGGAAUGGUGUUGGCGACAGUUUCCCUAUUUGGCUGGCCUGUUCUGCCACCAUCUCCCUGCUGUCCCUCCCCAGGCAAGCGCCUCAGAUGGUCUGCCUUGUCCCUAGGUGGCCUGGCUCUGGCCUGUGUCCCCAAGUCAGCUGGUCAGUCUGAGCUUGAGACGAGCGGAGAGCUGGGGAGAGGACCCUCCCCUUGGCUGUGUCCCCAGGAUUCAGGGGGGCCCUGUUCCUGCUGUAGAGUUCUCAGUCAGAACAGUCUGGGUUUGCUGUGUUCCCAUCACUUCUCACAGGAUCUCUGUGCAGGCGGGGAUGACCUGCAUCCUGACAUGUCCUGCAGGGUCAGACCAGGGUGCUGUUUCCCAUCACCCUCCUGAGUGGUGUGCUGAGCUCAGAGGAGGGCUCCUGCUG